CAGCUAGGCACGCAACACUCUCUCUCUCUCUCUCACUGUGUUGCUCCCUUCAUUGAUCGCGAUGGCGUGGCAGUGUUUACAAGAUGGUCUGGCAGGACUUACUGGUGUAUGUCAUCCUGUACGCCUCCUUGUCGUGCCUCUAUCGUUUUGGUUUAACUGAGGAUCAGAGAAGAAUCUUCGAGAAGGUGUCAGUCCACUGCAGUCUCUUCCGGAACCUCAUACCCAUAUCAUUUGUCCUAGGUUUCUACGUCUCAUUAAUAGUCAGUAGAUGGUGGGGUAUGUACCUCAGCAUACCCUGGCCCGAUACCCUGUGUAUAUACUUAGCGAUCAUUCAGGGCACGGACGCAAGAGCUAGAAUGAUGAGGUGCACAGUUGUUAGGUAUGUGAACCUGGCCAUUGUGAUGACUUUCUCAAUGAUCGCUCCAGGGGUCAAGAAGAACUUCCCAGGUCUAGAGCAGAUGGUGGAUGCUGGUUACCUUACUGAUAACGAGAAGGCAAUACUAGAAUCCCUCGACCACAAGACCAAGGAACACAAAACCUACGUCCCCUUCUUGUGGGCAUGUAAGAUCGUGGAUAGGGCAAGACGUGAGGGCAAGAUAAGGGAUGAUAUUGCCCAGAAGACCGUCACGGAUGAGAUCAUUAAAGUCCGUGGUUAUUGUGGUGAACUUCUUGGGUGAUAUAUAAUAUACCUUUAGUGUAUACACAGGUAGUGACGAUCGCAGUGUAUACAUUCUUCCUCUUCAGCGUCGUUGGGGAGCAGUUUCUCGACCCUGGACAGAAACUACCCAACAACCUCAUCGAUCUCUACGUGCCAAUCUUCACUCUAUUACAAUUCUUCUUUUAUAUCGGCUGGUUAAAAGUGGCAGAGUCCCUCAUCAAUCCAUUUGGAGAAGAUGACCAUGACUUUGAGUUUGUACCUUUGGUGAAGAGACAUUUAGAGAUGUCGUACUUGUUAGCAGACGCCAGUCCUAACGAGCAGCCAACUCGGUACAGGAUUCUUACUGGGAUCGAACCCUGGAAACAGAGACGGAGAAGGUGGAACUUAGCAACGUCGCCUUUAUUCUGGCCAAUCAGUUCGUCCAACCAACUGAGGUAUAAGAAAUGAUGGCACUGUGUUGGCAGGUGUUGGAAAUACCUGUAGAAUCUUCCCCAGGUGUUGGCAGGUGUUGGAAAUACCUGUAGAAUCUUCCCGAGGUGUUGGCAGGUGUUGGAAAUGCCUGUAGAAUCUCCCAGGUGUUGGCAGGUGUUGAAAAUCCCUGUAGAAUCUUCCCCAGGUGUUGGCAGGUUGAAAAUCCCUGUAGAAUCUUCCCCAGGUGUUGGCAGGUGUUGAAAAUCCCUGUAGAAUCUUCCCCAGGUGUUGGCAGGUGUUGAAAAUACCUGUAGAAUCUUCCCAGGU
This 1396-nucleotide long non-coding RNA is filed under the name Homarus americanus (American lobster). RNAcentral's name for it is "uncharacterized LOC121857507, transcript variant X4". The record is from RNAcentral. Lineage: Eukaryota; Metazoa; Arthropoda; Malacostraca; Decapoda; Nephropidae.